AUUGAACGCUGGCGGCAGGCUUAACACAUGCAAGUCGAGCGGGGUGAUGGUGCUUGCACUAUCACUUAGCGGCGGACGGGUGAGUAAUGCUUAGGAAUCUGCCUAUUAGUGGGGGACAACAUCUCGAAAGGGAUGCUAAUACCGCAUACGUCCUACGGCAGAAAGCAGGGGAUCACUUGUGACCUUGCGCUAAUAGAUGAGCCUAAGUCGGAUUAGCUAGUUGGUGGGGUAAAGGCCUACCAAGGCGACGAUCUGUAGCGGGUCUGAGAGGAUGAUCCGCAACACUGGGACUGAGACACGGCCCAGACUCCGACGGGAGGCAGCAGUGGGGAAUAUUGGACAAUGGGGGGAACCCUGAUCCAGCCAUGCCGCGUGUGUGAAGAAGGCCUUAUGGUUGUAAAGCACUUUAAGCGAGGAGGAGGCUCUUUUGGUUAAUACCCAAGAUGAGUGGACGUUACUCGCAGAAUAAGCACCGGCUAACUCUGUGCCAGCAGCCGCCGCGG
RNAcentral lists this ribosomal RNA (503 nucleotides) under uncultured bacterium. Its description in RNAcentral is "partial 16S ribosomal RNA". It matches the Rfam family "Bacterial small subunit ribosomal RNA", at positions 30 to 523 of the family's 1533-position model. The record is from RNAcentral.